CAGGGCGUAGCUACAACACAAAGCAUUCAGCUUACACCUGAAAGAUAUCUGCCAUNCCCAGAUCACCCUGA
RNAcentral lists this transfer RNA (71 nucleotides) under Ara macao cyanopterus. Its description in RNAcentral is "tRNA-Val". The record is from RNAcentral. Lineage: Eukaryota; Metazoa; Chordata; Aves; Psittaciformes; Psittacidae.